AUGCCACUGCCUGGGAGAUUGGAGGAAGAUCAUGGAGGGGGGCCAUGGCUGUUUCGGAGGGCGCCUGUUGUGCUGCAGGAGUAUGAUGGUUUCUCCGAUAUUAAUGGGUAUAGACUGAAUAAGAUCCUGCUAUGGGCCCGAGUCAAGGGCUUGCCGGAUGGCCUAACAAGAAGAAGGGAACUGGCGGAGAAGGUAGCUGCAAAGGUCGGGGACCCUCCGUAUACAGUGGUGGUUAAUGAGGGCAUGAUAAACCCGGCAAGUACACUACGCACCAGGGUUUUUGUUGAUGUCAAUGAGCCACUGGUUAGACAACCAAGGUUUGAACAAAAUCUCAAUGGAUUCCGGUACCAUGCUUCCCGACUGAUCGAGAGAGAUGCCAUUCUUAUCCCGGAGGAACGUCAAUACGAGUCGGUUUUAGAUCCACACUUGUGA
This 432-nucleotide ribosomal RNA is filed under the name Triticum aestivum (bread wheat). RNAcentral describes it as "partial small subunit ribosomal RNA". The record is from RNAcentral. Lineage: Eukaryota; Viridiplantae; Streptophyta; Magnoliopsida; Poales; Poaceae.